This 594-nucleotide ribosomal RNA is filed under the name uncultured bacterium. RNAcentral describes it as "bacterial SSU rRNA". It matches the Rfam family "Bacterial small subunit ribosomal RNA", at positions 112 to 704 of the family's 1533-position model. The record is from RNAcentral.
AACGCGUAUACAAUCUACCUUUUACAGAGGGAUAGCCCAGAGAAAUUUGGAUUAAUACCUCAUAGUAUUUUCGAAUGGCAUCAUUUGAUUAUUAAAGUUCCAACGGUAAAAGAUGAGUAUGCGUCCCAUUAGCUAGAUGGUAAGGUAACGGCUUACCAUGGCUACGAUGGGUAGGGGUCCUGAGAGGGAGAUCCCCCACACUGGUACUGAGACACGGACCAGACUCCUACGGGAGGCAGCAGUGAGGAAUAUUGGACAAUGGGCGCAAGCCUGAUCCAGCCAUGCCGCGUGCAGGAAGAAGGUCCUAUGGAUUGUAAACUGCUUUUAUACAGGAAGAAACACUCCCUCGUGAGGGAACUUGACGGUACUGUAUGAAUAAGGACCGGCUAACUCCGUGCCAGCAGCCGCGGUAAUACGGAGGGUCCAAGCGUUAUCCGGAAUCAUUGGGUUUAAAGGGUCCGUAGGCGGUUUAAUAAGUCAGUGGUGAAAGCCCAUCGCUCAACGAUGGAACGGCCAUUGAUACUGUUAAACUUGAAUUAUUAGGAAGUAACUAGAAUAUGUAGUGUAGCGGUGAAAUGCUUAGAGAUUACAUGG